GCUGGCGGCGUGGAUAAGACAUGCAAGUCGAGCGAGAUUUUUCGUUGUAGCAAUACGAUGGAAAGUCUAGCGGCGAACGGGUGCUUAACACGUGGGCAACCUGCCAUGAAGUGGGGGAUAGCUCGCCGAAAGGCGAAUUAAUACCGCAUGUGAUUAGAGAGGACAUCCUUUCGAAAUUAAAGUCGGGGCAACCUGACGCUUCUUGUGGGGCCCGCGGCCUAUCAGCUAGUUGGUGAGGUAACGGCUCACCAAGGCUUUGACGGGUAGCUGGUCUGAGAGGACGACCAGCCACACUGGGACUGAGACACGGCCCAGACACCUACGGGUGGCAGCAGUCGAGAAUUUUUGACAAUGGGGGAAACCCUGAUCGAGCGACGCCGCGUGGAGGAUGAAGGUCUUCGGAUUGUAAACUCCUGUCAUUUGGGAACAAGGUGCACACGUUAACUGCGUGUGCAUUGAUAGUACCAGAAGAGGAAGAGACGGCUAACUCUGUGCCA
Molecule: ribosomal RNA, 497 nt
Filed under: uncultured soil bacterium
Lineage: Bacteria
Description: bacterial SSU rRNA
Rfam family: Bacterial small subunit ribosomal RNA
Source: RNAcentral